This is a long non-coding RNA of Manis javanica (Malayan pangolin), 856 nucleotides long. RefSeq lists it as uncharacterized. The record is from RefSeq and is a predicted model, not a curated record. Lineage: Eukaryota; Metazoa; Chordata; Mammalia; Pholidota; Manidae.
UAGCGUCACUGAAUUGUGAGACUUUCUUCCUCCCCCCAGGAUCUAUGGAUUAUUAUACGUAUCUCAGUCUUACCUUCUGGUGCAAAAGGGUCCUGUGCAGAGUCAGUUUCUGAAGAACUCUCUCAAGGCCUGAACUGGAGAGAAACCAAAACAGAACCAAAAGGAGGAUGUCAUCUCCAUGAGGUGAGAGAAUUUUGUUUUGCUGUAAGACUGUGGCACGUCAGUGAAGCCCAACUACAAAGGCAUAAAUACUACCUGGAUGAGAUGAGAUCUACAAAAUUUAAAUGGAAAACGAGAUGAGAUGAAAACUCUACUUGAAAUCUCCCCCAUGUCAGCAUUCUUCCUUCAUGUUAGGAGUGAGAAACCUCUGAAACCCCUACUAUCACCAAUGAAACAAAACAGUAAAAGAGAAGAUGCGUCUCAGUCCUUCUAAAUCAGAGAUGUUCUCCCAUUUGGGUGAAUAUGUGCAGCCUAACAGGUCCAUUAAAAUCCACUCUGCCCUAUGUUCUGAUCUGUUCCGAAACUGGAGCAAAGGAAAUCAUCAUCCCGUCCUGCUCACCCUCCUAAACACAGGCGAGGCUUCGGCGUCUCUGCAUGGUCUGCCCCUUUCUCCCGCAUCUUCUCCCCCUCGCUCUCUGCUGGCAUCCCUGCACCGCAUGAACCAGCGCAGGGACGGGCACAGAGUUGGGGCUUCGUGAAUAUUUGUUAAAUAAGUGAAUCAUUUUCACCAUUUGAUAGUCUCCUGCAGAUAUUUAAAGUAUUUUAACUCCAAGUAAUCACUUGAUCAUGCCGAAUAAUUUAUUAUUUCAACAAAUAAAUGUCUGUUGUGUUCUCAGCAUGAGAAUAAGCAUUAAAA